Molecule: long non-coding RNA, 201 nt
Filed under: Elaeis guineensis (African oil palm)
Lineage: Eukaryota; Viridiplantae; Streptophyta; Magnoliopsida; Arecales; Arecaceae
Description: long non-coding RNA (EGUI_LNC020226)
Source: RNAcentral
UGGGAGACAUAACUAGUUAAAAGAUCUCAUCUAGUUAUGCAUAUCAAACAUGAGUGAUCUACUUAUACUAUUAUUCUUUAUUUAUGUAGAUUUAAAUUUAUAUUAUGGUUUUUUAUUUUCACUGCAUGAAAUCAUAAAUAAAAAUAUAUUGAUCGAUCCAAACUAUGUGGAUUGGUUGAGAAACUUGCAAAUUAGGUUCAU